This is a long non-coding RNA of Toxotes jaculatrix (banded archerfish), 1452 nucleotides long. RefSeq lists it as uncharacterized. The transcript has 3 exons. The record is from RefSeq and is a predicted model, not a curated record. NCBI's taxonomy places the organism in Eukaryota, Metazoa, Chordata, Actinopteri, Toxotidae.
GCUGGCGUCGAGGCCUGUGGUGGGUUCGUCCAGGAAGAGGACGGGCGGGUCGAUGAUCAGCUCCAUGCCGAUGUUCGUCCUCUUCCUCUCGCCGCCGGAGAUCCCACGAAUCAGCUGAGUGCCCACCUGAACACGCACACAGUCGGCCACUCGGCUCAGCCCCAGCUCCUGGAUCAGCCUGUUGACCUUCUGCUCCUUCUCCUCCUGAGAGAUGGUUGAUGGGAGACGCAGCGCCGCAGAGAAGCUGAAGUUUUCUCUGACCGUCAGAGUUCCCAUCACCACGUCGUCCUGUGGACAACAAACCAACAGAUGGAAAGUACUGAGGCUCUUCCUGCCUUGGCCAGGAAACCCUCCUGAAUCAAAGCUGGCUGCUGUGGGUCAGGCUUCCUGCCUGUCUCACCCACCUGCACCACGUAUCCAGACAGACACUUAAAGUUUGGAGGCUGCGGAGCUCCGUCGAUCAGGACUUCUCCUGUGAGACCGGCGGGAUCCUUCCUGGCUGCCAGAACAUCCAGGAACCUGAACGAAAAACACCAUCAACGGUUUCCUUUAUUCGCUUUUUCUUCUGCAGAUUCUCUGGAGCUUGUGUUAAAAUUCGGAUGGAAACCUGACGAGUGUUUGAACAGCUGACUUUUUCAGUCAGAUCUGAAACACUCACGAUGAUUUGCCGCUUCCUGUCGCUCCCAUGAUGGCGUUGAGCCCUGGCUUCAUGAUCCCACUGAAAGAGAGAGAAACAAGAAACCAUACAAUGUUCAUAUAAAUUAUAUUUUUGUUAUUAUAUCAUUUAUACAACACGUGCUAACAGGACAGAGUCUUUGAAUUCAGUGCUGAAAGGAGAAUAAACCAGUUCUUCCACUGUGCACAUAUGUAAUAUAUAUAUUAUAAGGAGCCAUAGCAAAAACUGUAAUGUGCAUGUGUGUCAUGUCCUUAGUUCCUUAGUGUUUACAUGUUUACAGUAAACACUUUCUCACUGAGACUCUGAUGACACUCUGUCUGUACGGUAAACCCGUUAGCUUAGCUUAGCAUAACCCAAAGGUGAACACCACAACUUGUUGUUUUUUUACAUUGUUUUUGUUGUAAAUAACAAACAAAACAUAAAGUGUUAUUUGAUGAGACUUUUUUUAACCUUGGACAGAGCCAGGCUAACAGUUCCCCUCUGUUUCCAGUCUUUGUGCUAAGCUAAGCUAACCGCCUACAGAUUCCCAUGAGUAACCGUCUCUGCACGAGGGCAGUCCUUCUCUGAUCAUCUCUGUUGGACUGUUUUAAAAUGAUGCAGCGGUUUCAGUUCUGUUUCUGGGAGGUGACUGUGGGUGAACUCUGCGAUCACACGCGGUGUGUUGUCGUAUUUUCAGGAACUGAGAGGUUUAUGAGAAGGAAUUGGCAGUUUGGGUUUGAAGCUGUUUCGCAAAAGUUUGAUUCAUUUUUUUGGGUCUUUUUUUUUUGCUGAUUCUG